Molecule: ribosomal RNA, 110 nt
Filed under: Mus musculus (house mouse)
Lineage: Eukaryota; Metazoa; Chordata; Mammalia; Rodentia; Muridae
Also listed under: 1 other name
Description: 16S mitochondrial ribosomal RNA
Source: RNAcentral
ACGCCAUGAUCAAGAUAUCGAGGAUCUACAUGCUUAAAGAAAGAGGUUAUGAAAAUCAUCCUAUUUACAAAACUAAAUAUAUUAUCAUAUUAAUAUAAACACAUCCCGAU